RNAcentral lists this long non-coding RNA (832 nucleotides) under Carica papaya (papaya). RNAcentral describes it as "long non-coding RNA (CPAP_LNC008841)". The record is from RNAcentral. Lineage: Eukaryota; Viridiplantae; Streptophyta; Magnoliopsida; Brassicales; Caricaceae.
UUCAAUUAUUUUCCGAGUAACCAGCGCAUCAGCACACGCUUCUGAAUUUUGUUUUUCUUUAACUUCUUUUUCGUUCUCCACCUCCUUAUUGUCUUCUACAGCACUACUUUCAUCACCUUCAAUUACUUUCUGAGAAGCCAACACAUCUGCACAAGCCUCUGAAUCUUGUUUUUCUUUAACUUCCUUUUCGUUCUCCACCUCCUUAUUGUCAUCUACAACACUACUUUCAUCACCUUCAAUUAUUUUCUUAGUAGCCAACACAUCUGCACAUGCUUCUGACCUUUGUUUUUCUUUAAUUUCUUUUUCCUUCUCCACCUCCUUGUCUUCUACAACACGACUCUCAUCAACUUCAACUAUUUUCUGAGUAGCCAACACAUCUGCACAGGCUUCUGAAUUUUGUUUUUCUUCAACUUCUUUCUCCUUCACCUCCUCCUUGUCUUCCACAACACUACUCUCAUCACUUUCAACUAUUGUUUGAGUAACCAACACAUCUGCACAGGUUUCUGAAUCUUGUUUUUCUUUAACUUCUUUUUCUUUCUCCACCUCCUUAAUGUCUUCUACAACACUACUCUCAUCACCUUCAAUUGUUUUCUGAGUAACCAACACAUCUGCAGAGGCUUCUGAAUUCUGUUUUUCUUUAACUUCGUUUUCGUUCUCCACCUCCUUAUUGUCUUCUGCAGCACUACUCUCAUCACCUUCAAUUAUUUCCUGAGUAGCCAACUUAUCUGCACAGGCUUCUGAAUUUUGUUUGUCUUUAACUUCUAACUCAGAACCUGUGGAUUCCAUAACUGGUUGAACAAGUGGAGCUGCAGUCACAGGAUGUUGAUUGGUU